This is a non-coding RNA of Xylaria curta, 112 nucleotides long. The record is from the annotation of a GenBank genome assembly. Lineage: Eukaryota; Fungi; Ascomycota; Sordariomycetes; Xylariales; Xylariaceae.
GGCCUCGUGGCCCAAUGGCAAGGCGUCUGACUACGAUAGAAAUCAAGCCGUACUACGACUUGAUAUCCUAACGAUAAUCAGGAGAUUCUGGGUUCGACCCCCAGCGAGGUCA